UUCUCUAACUCUGUAUCCCUCUCCUCUCUAUUUCUCUCUCCCUCCCAUCAAACCCAGCAAUGGUUAAGCUUCUUCAGCUCUCCUUGCACCCACACACAGUUGUGCACCAACUGUGUUUCAGCCAUCCACCUCUAUUUCUAAAGGAAAUUUUGAUAUCAAAUUUAUGAAUUGAUUAUUUGAGGAAUCCUCUUGGUAUUGAUUGGAUCCAUCUUGUUGCAUGACUACCGAUUUGCAGUUGAACUCAACUCUCUACCAAUUGAGCCAAAUAUCUGUGAAAUUAGUCUUAAGUGGAGUGCAUAGGAUGGUGCACAUAGUCAAGCCAUUUUUCUAGCUUAGGAUGCUGUUUUUCUAAUUUAGAAUCAUGUUUUGUAAUCUUUGACAUAAGUUGUGGACAAAUGCUCUAAUGGUUGUUUAUAUACCAAUUGGUUUGGUAAUGGUGUACUAGUGUUUUGAGUAUACUUUAUACAUUUGAAUAUAUGGAAUUAGGAUACAUUUCAGGU
This is a long non-coding RNA of Quercus robur (English oak), 500 nucleotides long. RefSeq lists it as uncharacterized. The transcript has 2 exons. The record is from RefSeq and is a predicted model, not a curated record. NCBI's taxonomy places the organism in Eukaryota, Viridiplantae, Streptophyta, Magnoliopsida, Fagales, Fagaceae.